RNAcentral lists this ribosomal RNA (446 nucleotides) under uncultured bacterium. RNAcentral's name for it is "partial 16S ribosomal RNA". It matches the Rfam family "Bacterial small subunit ribosomal RNA", at positions 338 to 795 of the family's 1533-position model. The record is from RNAcentral.
CCUACGGGAGGCAGCAGUCGAGAAUUAUUCACAAUGGGGGAAACCCUGAUGGUGCGACGCCGCGUGGGGGAAUGAAGGUCUUCGGAUUGUAAACCCCUGUCAUGUGGGCGCAAAUUAAAAAGAUAGUACCACAAGAGGAAGAGACGGCUAACUCUGUGCCAGCAGCCGCGGUAAUACAGAGGUCUCAAGCGUUGUUCGGAAUCACUGGGCGUAAGGCGUGCGGAGGCUGUUUCGUAAGUCGUGUGUGAAAGGCGCGGGCUCAACCCGCGGACGGCACAUGAUACUGCGAGACUAGAGUAAUGGAGGGGGAACCGGAAUUCUCGGUGUAGCAGUGAAAUGCGUAGAUAUCGAGAGGAACACUCGUGGCGAAGGCGGGUUCCUGGACAGUAACUGACGCUGAGGCACGAAGGCCAGGGGAGCGAAAGGGAUUAGAUACCCCUGUAGUC